UACGUAGGUGGCAAGCGUUGUCCGGAAUUAUUGGGCGUAAAGCGCGCGUAGGCGGCUUCUUAAGUCUGAGGUGAAAGGUUCAACGCUCAACGUGAACAGUGCCUUGGAUACUGGGAGGCUUGAGUAUGGGAGAGGGCAGUGGAAUGGCUGGUGUAGCGGUGAAAUGCGUAGAUAUCAGUCGGAACACCCAUGGCGAAGGCAGCUGCCUGGCCUAAUACUGACGCUGAGGUGCGAAAGCGUGGGGAGCGAACGGG
This 254-nucleotide ribosomal RNA is filed under the name uncultured bacterium. RNAcentral's name for it is "partial 16S ribosomal RNA". It matches the Rfam family "Bacterial small subunit ribosomal RNA", at positions 524 to 776 of the family's 1533-position model. The record is from RNAcentral.